AGGACGAACGCUGGCGGCGUGCCUAAUACAUGCAAGUCGAACGGUCUUUCUAUGGAAGCUUGCUUCCACUGAAAAGAUAGUGGCGAACGGGUGAGUAACACGUGGGGUAACCUGCCCAUAAGAGGGGGGAUAACAUCCGGAAACGGGUGCUAAUACCGCAUAGUUUCUUGAUCGCAUGAUCGGGAAAGGAAAGACGGCCUUUGUGCUGUCGCUUAUGGAUGGACCCGCGGCGUAUUAGUUAGUUGGUGAGGUAACGGCUCACCAAGACGAUGAUACGUAGCCGACCUGAGAGGGUGAUCGGCCACAUUGGGACUGAGACACGGCCCAAACUCCUACGGGAGGCAGCAGUAGGGAAUCUUCCGCAAUGGACGAAAGUCUGACGGAGCAACGCCGCGUGAGUGAAGAAAGGGUUUUCGGAUCGUAAAACUCUGUUGUCAGAGAAGAACAAGUUGGAGAGUAACUGCUCCAGCCUUGACGGUAUCUGACCAGAAAGCCACGGCUAACUACGUGCCAGCCGCUGC
RNAcentral lists this ribosomal RNA (521 nucleotides) under uncultured bacterium. RNAcentral's name for it is "bacterial SSU rRNA". It matches the Rfam family "Bacterial small subunit ribosomal RNA", at positions 26 to 518 of the family's 1533-position model. The record is from RNAcentral.